UCCAGGCCUGCUGCCUGGGACAGAGCCCCAGAACUGACAGCGGCAGACAACCUCAGAGAAGGCAAAAUGAUAGUCUUAUGCUUCAGCCCUGUUCUCUCUGGUCCUCACUUUCCCCCAGAUAUCAGAGCUACCGGUGCUGCAGGCAUGCGAGCCCAGAGGCAGGCCUUGCUGAUAGGAGGCAGACUUCAUCUUUGUGUGCACCAUUCACUGGUCACCCUGGGCGCUGUGGACUCAAUACAGAGACAGAAUCCCUUCUGAGGCCAGUGAGGUUUAUCAG
Molecule: long non-coding RNA, 277 nt
Organism: Microtus oregoni (creeping vole)
Lineage: Eukaryota; Metazoa; Chordata; Mammalia; Rodentia; Cricetidae
Exons: 3
Source: RefSeq, a predicted model, not a curated record